Small nucleolar RNA from Gopherus evgoodei (Goodes thornscrub tortoise), 91 nucleotides. NCBI's taxonomy places the organism in Eukaryota, Metazoa, Chordata, Testudines, Testudinidae. The record is from Ensembl.
GCUGUUCAGUGAUGAGGCCAUGGAACUAGCACUGUACAGUGUCCGACAGGCAUGAGGAGACAUUCCGUGCUGCCUUCCUUUUGAGAACCAC